This 94-nucleotide microRNA precursor is filed under the name Canis lupus familiaris (dog). RNAcentral describes it as "mir-8799 microRNA precursor family". It matches the Rfam family "mir-8799 microRNA precursor family". Lineage: Eukaryota; Metazoa; Chordata; Mammalia; Carnivora; Canidae. The record is from Rfam by way of RNAcentral.
GGGGGACUGCCGGAUCCUGGGCUGUGUCCCCCAGCGUCCUGGUCUCCGGGGCCUGCGCUGCUGGAAUCAUGCUCCCGGGACUGAGCAGAACCCU